CCUGCGAAUGAGUAAAAAGUCAUUAUUAGCCUUUAUGAAAGGACAUAUGACAUAAAACAUUGUGAAUGAAUUCCAAUAGCAAUAUGACUUAUCAUCAGCUGUAUCAACAUACCCAGCGGUGUCCAUGAUCCAGAGGCAAAGUCAUUGCUUCUAUAAGACUGGAAAGAUUGGUCAAAGUUGAAGGCCUGGAUGGUAAUUCGACCCAACAUGGACCUAAAAGACAAUUGGAAACAUAAUUAACAAACCCAGGAAAUAUCACACAAGGCAACUAAAAUUCUUCUUUUAGAAAAGGAAACUACCUUGGAAUCUACAGUGACAUUUUCAAAGAAUCUGAUAUCUGACAUGCAAGUAGACCAGAAAUGCAAACAGCUUUACAAGAAUCUGUUCAUUUGGGAUUCCCCCUAUAUGGGGUUGAUCUUGAUCUUAUGUGUCUUACACAAGACUAAUCAGGACACAUUACACAAUUAGGAGUGAAUAAUGUUUAACCAUGUCAUUUAUUGAAUCUAAAAAUGCAGCUCUCAUUUUAUGUAUUUGAUGUGGCCUGUGUAUUGAUGACUUUAGUUAAAAUAAAAUUUGACUAAAAUAAAGUGUGUGCUUUAUGGAUCUAGACUUAUGCUUAAUCUUUUUAUAAUUAAAAAAAAGAUUGGCAAGUAUGUUUACACACAAAAGGGAUUUGUCUUGUUGACAGGAGCUUCAGUGCAGAAAAAGUACAAUACAGACAUACAUAGGC
Long non-coding RNA from Onychostoma macrolepis, 730 nucleotides. RefSeq lists it as uncharacterized. The transcript has 3 exons. The record is from RefSeq and is a predicted model, not a curated record. NCBI's taxonomy places the organism in Eukaryota, Metazoa, Chordata, Actinopteri, Cypriniformes, Cyprinidae.